GAUGAACGCUGGCGGCGUGCCUCAAACAUGCAAGUCGAGCGGGGCUAUGUAAUACCGCAAGGUAGAACAUAGCCUAGCGGCGAACGGGUGAGUAACACGUGGGUAACCUGCCUGGAAGACAGGGAUAACGAUUCGAAAGGGUCGCUAAUACCUGAUAAUAUCCUUUCAUCGCAUGGUGAUAGGAAGAAAGGGGAAACCCGCUUUCAGAUGGGCCCGCGUCCCAUCAGCUAGUUGGUAAGGUAAAGGCUUACCAAGGCGACGACGGGUAGCCGGUCUGAGAGGAUGUACGGCCACACUGGGACUGAGAUACGGCCCAGACUCCUACGGGAGGCAGCAGUUGGGAAUCUUAGGCAAUGGACGAAAGUCUGACCUAGCGACGCCGCGUGAGGGAAGAAGGCCUUCGGGUUGUAAACCUCUGUCAUGGGGGAAGAAGUAAGUGACGGUACCCAAGAGGAAGCCCCUGCUAACUACGUGCCAGCCACCGCGGUAACACCAUACUCGCGU
Molecule: ribosomal RNA, 504 nt
Filed under: uncultured bacterium
Lineage: Bacteria
Description: bacterial SSU rRNA
Rfam family: Bacterial small subunit ribosomal RNA
Source: RNAcentral